This 426-nucleotide ribosomal RNA is filed under the name uncultured Moraxellaceae bacterium. Its description in RNAcentral is "bacterial SSU rRNA". It matches the Rfam family "Bacterial small subunit ribosomal RNA", at positions 356 to 774 of the family's 1533-position model. The record is from RNAcentral. Lineage: Bacteria; Pseudomonadati; Pseudomonadota; Gammaproteobacteria; Moraxellales; Moraxellaceae.
GGGGAAUUUUGGACAAUGGGCGCAAGCCUGAUCCAGCAAUGCCGCGUGCAGGAUGAAGGCCUUCGGGUUGUAAACUGCUUUUGUACGGAACGAAAAGCCUCUCUCUAAUACAGGGGGGUGAUGACGGUACCGUAAGAAUAAGCACCGGCUACCUCUGUGCCAGCAGCCGCGGUAAUACAGAGGGUGCGAGCGUUAAUCGGAUUUACUGGGCGUAAAGCGUGCGUAGGCGGCUUUUUAAGUCGGAUGUGAAAUCCCCGAGCUUAACUUGGGAAUUGCAUUCGAUACUGGGAAGCUAGAGUAUGGGAGAGGAUGGUAGAAUUCCAGGUGUAGCGGUGAAAUGCGUAGAGAUCUGGAGGAAUACCUAUGGCGAAGGCAGCCAUCUGGCCUAAUACUGACGCUGAGGUACGAAAGCAUGGGGAGCAAACA